This 156-nucleotide ribosomal RNA is filed under the name Termitomyces bulborhizus. Its description in RNAcentral is "5.8S ribosomal RNA". It matches the Rfam family "5.8S ribosomal RNA". Rfam says of the family: 5.8S ribosomal RNA (5.8S rRNA) is a component of the large subunit of the eukaryotic ribosome. It is transcribed by RNA polymerase I as part of the 45S precursor that also contains 18S and 28S rRNA. Functionally, it is thought that 5.8S rRNA may be involved in ribosome translocation. The record is from RNAcentral. Lineage: Eukaryota; Fungi; Basidiomycota; Agaricomycetes; Agaricales; Lyophyllaceae.
ACAACUUUCAGCAAUGGAUCUCUUGGCUCUUGCAUCGAUGAAGAACGCAGCGAAAUGCGAUAAGUAAUGUGAAUUGCAGACCCCAGUGAAUCAUCGAAUCUUUGAACGCACCUUGCGCUUCUUAGUAUUCUGAGGAGCAUGCCUGUUUGAGUGUCA